GAUGAACGCUGGCGGCGUGCCUAAUACAUGCAAGUCGAGCGAACGGACGAGAAGCUUUCUUCUCUGAUGUUAGCGGCGGACGGGUGAGUAACACGUGGAUAACCUACCUAUAAGACUGGGAUAACUUCGGGAAACCGGAGCUAAUACCGGAUGAUAUUUUGAACCGCAUGGUUCAAAAGUGAAAGACGGUCUUGCUGUCACUUAUAGAUGGUUCCGCGCUGCAUUAGCUAGUUGGUAAGGUAACGGCUUACCAAGGCAACGAUGCAUAGCCGACCUGAGAGGGUGAUCGGCCACACUGGAACUGAGACACGGUCCAGACUCCUACGGGAGGCAGCAGUAGGGAAUCUUCCGCAAUGGGCGAAAGCCUGACGGAGCAACGCCGCGUGAGUGAUGAAGGUCUUCGGAUCGUAAAACUCUGUUAUUAGGGAAGAACAUAUGUGUAAGUAACUGUGCACAUCUUGACGGUACCUAAUCAGAAAGCCACGGCUAACUACGUG
Molecule: ribosomal RNA, 497 nt
Filed under: uncultured bacterium
Lineage: Bacteria
Description: partial 16S ribosomal RNA
Rfam family: Bacterial small subunit ribosomal RNA
Source: RNAcentral